Molecule: non-coding RNA, 2726 nt
Organism: Rattus norvegicus (Norway rat)
Lineage: Eukaryota; Metazoa; Chordata; Mammalia; Rodentia; Muridae
Source: RefSeq, a predicted model, not a curated record
AGGCAAAAGACCCUACAGAGUAAGGACCAAUCAUGACUGGUAAUGGAGAACAGACUCUGAGAAAUAAUAAUCAUGCACCAGGGACGGUGUUCACCUUCUGUAUUGCUGGGUCUUCAUGGCUUAGCAAAAACAGGUGUUCCAUAAAUAUUACUGAAUUGAAUAACUACUCAAUUACAUUGAAAUGAUCUAUUUAUGUGUUUGACAUAUCACAAAGGAAGGGCUAUAUUUUUGUGAGGGUUUCUAUUGCUGUGAUAAACACUAUCAGCAUAAGUGACUUUGGAGAGAAAAGGGCUUAUUUCAUCUUGUAAUUGGUAAUCCAUCAUCCAAGGAAGCCAGGGCGAGGCAGAAACUGAAGCUGAGGCCAUGGAGGGGUGCUGCUCAUUGGCUUGUCCAGCCUGCUUUCUUAUAGUACCCAUGACCACCAGCCCAGGAAUAACAGCACCCACACACACCUAGACAUGCCAACUGUAAUUUUACACUACAGACUCGCCUACAGGGAAAUCUUAGAGACAUUUUCUCAGUUCAGAGUCCCUUUUUCAAAAUGACUCUACUAGUCGAGGCAGGACCUGCCUAGGAUUUGUUGCACCAAUAUUCAUUAUAUGGAACUGGUGAGAUGGCUUAGUGGUUAAGAAUAUUUGCUGCUGUUACAGAGGAUCUGAGUUUGAUUCCCAGCAACCACAUUGGGUGCCUCACAGUCACCUGUCACACCAGCUCCCUGAAAUCCCACAUCUUCUGGCUUCCAUGGGCACCCAUCCAAUGUGGUAUAUGACACACAUGUACACAUAGAUAAAAAUGAUGUUCAAUACUUUAAAUACAGCAGGCACCCCAUAAAUCACCACUAUCACAAGUCAAGGAUAAUUCUUUCAUAAAUUUGCCCUUCUUUCUGCACACACUGCCAUGGCCUUUGCUCCCCACUUUCAUAGAACUCAUAAUUUGAAGUAUCACAUGUAGCUUCUGUUAUGUGUUUUUAAUUGUUCUUGCUAUUUCAAAUCUUGCGUCCCUUCCAACAAAACAAACACUUUAGCAUUUUGAAGACAAGGAAGGUGCUGGAUACUAUAAUUGCUUUUUCGGAUACUUAAAUCAUUUUUAUAUAAUAAACUUAAAGAAGUUUUUUUUUGAGCGGCACUGUUAGACAACUGUAGGCUAGACAUCAUGGCACAAGUCAAGGCUUCCAAGAGAUGACUGUCUGGAGACAGGCUCAUAUGCAAAGACUGUGAAGAUGGCAAUGGGAGGUCAGGAGAAGAAAGUUAGUGUGGUUCUGUUUGAAGCCUGUGUUGUAUUCCUUUUGGCAGAGCAGUGUGUGGUAAGGAUGCCUAUCCCGUGCUCCAGGAAAGUGGGUAUGCAAAGUAAGAGGAAGAUGUUUAGGGAAGAAAGCAGAGGGGCCCUUCAUUAUACUCUAGGACAAAAGCUGGAGCUAGUCUUUACUGGUUGGCAUUGUGUUAGGAGUAGAGGCCAAAUGGAAAACACCAAGUAAACAAUGAAUUUAAACCACUCAAACUCUACAAGAAACCCAUCUCUAUAGAUGUGGGGGGGGGGUGGGAAUCUGUGAGUUGUUCCUAAUUGGGAAAUUGCCAGGGAUUAACCUGCAUUGGCAGCAUCUCAAAUACACUUGCUGGAUAUAUUCAACAGAGAUCCUGAGAUGAAGUAGGGAUAUGGGCUGGCUGACCUCCCAAGGUCUUUUCCGCUACCACAAUCAUAUACGGAACCCUACUUUUUCCCAUUUAUGAUCCUACACAUGCCUGUAGUCCGUUUGAUAGUAAGUCCCCUGGGCAGCCUUCCAGGGUUAGUACGAUGCCACAAAAGGCUGUUAGCACUCAACAAACGACUCAAAUAUUUGUUGAAUGAAGGGAUAAAUGAAUCGUAUUUAAAUAGGUCUCUCAUGAGCUCCCCAGCUGUAGAGAAUAAAAUCACAACAUUCCAGGCAUGAUGAUGGUUUGAAGGUUUGAACAGAGCUAGCAAGGAAACGUGAUCUCUCUCUCUCUCUCUCUCUCUCUCUCUCUCUCUCUCUCUCUCUCUCUCUCUCUCUCUCACACACACACACACACACACACACACACACACACACACACACACACACACACACACACACACACACACACACACACACACACACACACACACACACACUAACCCUCUAGCCUUGUGAAAACACAGCCCACCUGCUCAGCCGGCAGGCUGCUGCAGGAGUUUCCUUGGCAAAGAAUCUUGUCUGCUGCUUCUAAAUGCAGUCUCCAGAAGGUCACUUCACCAGAUAUAGAACAGCUUCCCUUUUGGUCUCUAAGACAAAGUUUGUCCGGAUUCAGUGCGGGUCUCCCCUGGGGUGCUUCUACACUCCCGCCCCAACACUGGGUGCCUCUGGCGCACAGCUGGUCCGCCCGCAACACCCCGCCUUACCUUGGAAUGCAAGCACUGUGCAAAUGAGAAGAAAAUUAACCUUCAUGUAACAAGAAAAUUGAGCCAUAAAUUACUCACUGUGUUGGAUUAUCAGAUCGCUGGUCCCCUGACUCAUGGUAUUUGAGUGAGAAUGCACGCUUGCCACAUUGGAAGAAUGACCUGCUGGUUCAGGUUACUACCAUUUGUAUUCCUCCAGGGUAUGGCUUUUCCCUUUUCAGGAAACAGAUGAGAUUAAGCCAUGAUUAUGAACUUCUACAAUCCAAGAUUAUCUGGACUGCUUCAACAAAAGACUAUUGAUUGCCAUUAAUAAAGAUGAAACAUCUAGAAAUGCA